Molecule: ribosomal RNA, 301 nt
Filed under: uncultured bacterium
Lineage: Bacteria
Description: partial 16S ribosomal RNA
Rfam family: Bacterial small subunit ribosomal RNA
Source: RNAcentral
CAGUCGCCGCGGUAAUACGUAGGGUGCGAGCGUUAAUCGGAAUUACUGGGCGUAAAGCGUGCGCAGGCGGUUGUGUAAGACAGGUGUGAAAUCCCCGGGCUUAACCUGGGAACUGCGCUUGUGACUGCACAGCUAGAGUAUGGCAGAGGGGGGUGGAAUUCCACGUGUAGCAGUGAAAUGCGUAGAGAUCGGGAGGAACAUCAGUGGCGAAGGCGGCCAUCUGGGACAACACUGACGCUGAGGCACGAAAGCGUGGGGAGCAAACAGGAUUAGAUACCCCCGUAGUCCCUGUCUCUUAUAA